UGCUGUCCCAGGUGCUGGAUCAGUGGUUUGAGUCUGAGCCUCUAAAGGCUACUCUAGCAACGGAUUCUGUGAUUGGAGCCAUGACAA
Molecule: microRNA precursor, 87 nt
Filed under: Tursiops truncatus (common bottlenose dolphin)
Lineage: Eukaryota; Metazoa; Chordata; Mammalia; Artiodactyla; Delphinidae
Description: microRNA 1287 (ENSTTRG00000023495.1)
Rfam family: mir-1287 microRNA precursor family
Source: RNAcentral